Molecule: small nuclear RNA, 105 nt
Organism: Nannospalax galili (Upper Galilee mountains blind mole rat)
Lineage: Eukaryota; Metazoa; Chordata; Mammalia; Rodentia; Spalacidae
Source: Ensembl
GUAAACUUGGGCAGAACGUAUACUUAAAUUGGAACAACACAGAGGAUAUUAGCCUGGCUCCCGUGCAGGGAUGACAUUCAAAUUCGUGAAGCAUUCCAUAUGUUU